GUACGACUGCCACAAACUGUCAGCCCUGACAACGGCAUGCGGCACUGCCGCCUAGGGGCAUUGUCAACCCUAGUGAUUUGAUAGCCCCACGGCGAUGUGACACUUUUACGGCGACUCUGACAGUCUACAGUGAGUUGACAAUUCCUCAAUUGUCCGCGCCAUUAAUGACGGUGCCAUACCACGCUCCACUAUAUAAAUCG
This 200-nucleotide long non-coding RNA is filed under the name Elaeis guineensis (African oil palm). Its description in RNAcentral is "long non-coding RNA (EGUI_LNC032932)". The record is from RNAcentral. Lineage: Eukaryota; Viridiplantae; Streptophyta; Magnoliopsida; Arecales; Arecaceae.